RNAcentral lists this ribosomal RNA (164 nucleotides) under uncultured bacterium. RNAcentral describes it as "partial 16S ribosomal RNA". It matches the Rfam family "Bacterial small subunit ribosomal RNA", at positions 355 to 511 of the family's 1533-position model. The record is from RNAcentral.
UAGGGAAUCUUCCACAAUGGACGCAAGUCUGAUGGAGCAACGCCGCGUGAGUGAAGAAGGGUUUCGGCUCGUAAAACACUGUUGUAAGAGAAGAAUGACAUUGAGAGUAACUGUUCAAUGUGUGACGGUAUCUUACCAGAAAGGAACGGCUAAAUACGUGCCAA